Molecule: ribosomal RNA, 492 nt
Filed under: uncultured bacterium
Lineage: Bacteria
Description: partial 16S ribosomal RNA
Rfam family: Bacterial small subunit ribosomal RNA
Source: RNAcentral
AGUGAACGCUGGCGGUAGGCCUAACACAUGCAAGUCGAACGGCAGCACAGUAAGAGCUUGCUCUUACGGGUGGCGAGUGGCGGACGGGUGAGGAAUACAUCGGAAUCUACUUUUUCGUGGGGGAUAACGUAGGGAAACUUACGCUAAUACCGCAUACGACCUACGGGUGAAAGCAGGGGAUCUUCGGACCUUGCGCGAUUGAAUGAGCCGAUGUCGGAUUAGCUAGUUGGCGGGGUAAAGGCCCACCAAGGCGACGAUCCGUAGCUGGUCUGAGAGGAUGAUCAGCCACACCGGAACUGAGACACGGUCCAGACUCCUACGGGAGGCAGCAGUGGGGAAUAUUGGACAAUGGGCGCAAGCCUGAUCCAGCCAUACCGCGUGGGUGAAGAAGGCCUUCGGGUUUUAAAGCCCUUUUGUUGGGAAAGAAAAGCAGCAGGUUAAUACCCCGCUGUUCUGACGGUACCCAAAGAAUAAGCACCGGCUAACUUCGUG